GGAGGCUCCUCUUCGGUGAGGUCUUUGUCUUUGAUGUCAGACUCUAGUGCUAUGCUCCGACUUUCUUCGACUCCGAGUUUAGCCUUUAGCUCAUUGAUCUCGCUAAGGAGAGACUGCUUGUCAAGGCGGAGCGCAUCAACAUCGACACGGAGGUUAUCAUAGCUCGAUUUCAGCGCAGCAUACCCACGCUCGAGCUGCUUUGUCUUCCACCGUGCGCGGCGGUUCUGGAACCAGACAGCAACCUGGCGUGGCUCGAGACCGAGCUCCUGUGCGAGACGAGUCUUGCGCUCGGGGUCCAGCUUGUUUUCCACCUCGA
This 316-nucleotide unclassified non-coding RNA is filed under the name Hevea brasiliensis (rubber tree). Lineage: Eukaryota; Viridiplantae; Streptophyta; Magnoliopsida; Malpighiales; Euphorbiaceae. The record is from RNAcentral.